RNAcentral lists this ribosomal RNA (3971 nucleotides) under bacterium. RNAcentral describes it as "23S ribosomal RNA". It matches the Rfam family "Bacterial large subunit ribosomal RNA". The record is from RNAcentral.
GGGUAAUACUCCAAGAGCAUAUGGUGGAUGCCUUGACUUGAAGAGGCGAUGAAGGACGUGGCGUGGCUGCGAAAAGCCUCGGGGAGCUGUCUAGCAAGCUUUGAUCCGGGGAUGUCCGAAUGGGGAAACCCAAGCGCCGUAGGGUGCUUGAUUCGCCGAUGAGGCGAAUCGUCAACCCGCUGAAGUGAAACAUCUCAGUAAGCGGAGGAAAAGAAAAAAAUCUGGUUUUCUAGUUUUCUGGUUAUCUGGUUUCUGAUUUUUUCAGAACACUAGCUGGCUAGUAACUAGGCAACCAACCAUUCCCUUAGUAGCGGCGAGCGAAAAGGGAAGAGCCCAAACUUCAAUUUUUUGUUUUUAACAUAAAAUUGGAGGGUUGUAAGAUGACAAUGUUUUCUACUUCGGUAGAAGAGGAGUUCAUAAAUUAAAACUUCGUUAGUGAAAUCUGCUGGAAAACAGAGCCAAAGAAGGUAAUAGCCCUGUACGCGAAAACGGUUUUAAGCUCCUAGUUGUUUGCGCCUCAACGGCGCAUUUGUCGCAAGACAAAUUCUUGAGUAUCUCGACAAAUGAAUGGGUCGAGAGAAUCCGGGAGAACUAACUCCCAAGGCUAAAUACUCUUCAAGAUCGAUAGUGAACAAGUACCGUGAGGGAAAGGUGAAAAGCAGCCCGGUGAGGGCGGUGAAAUAGUCCUGAAACCAUAUGCUUACAAAGAAUCGAAGUCCCGCUACAAUAUUUAUUUAUUGAGGCGGGAUGACGGUGUGCCUAUUGAAGAAUGAGCCAACGAGUCCCGCUUAGUUUUUUGUCUAACCCCGUUUUGGGGGAAGGCGUAGGGAAACCGAGUGUGAAUAGCGCGUAAGCGAGAUUUUUCUCGCGUAAAUCUGAGCGGGGACCCGAAGCCAGGUGAGCUUGCCAUGAUCAGGGUGAACUUCGCAGAAAUGCGGGGAGAGGCCCGAACCGGUUGGUGGUACAAGACCAUCGGAUGAAUUGUGGUAAGGAGUGAAAAGCUAAUCGAACCUGGUAAUAGCUGGUUCUCUCCGAAAUAGUUUUCGGACUAGCGUCUCGUCGAAAUUUCCGGGGUAGAGCUACUGGAUGAGUUGAAUAGGGGGAAACCUCGUCACCUCAACCAAACUCCGAAUACGGAAAUUAUAAUGACGGGGCAGUCAGACCAUGGGGGCGAAGCUCCAUCGGUCGAAAGGGGAAGAGCCCGGAUCUCUAUCUAAGGUCCCUAAAUCUUUCUGUCUUUAUGAUGGAAUCCUGUUUUUGUUGGUUUUCCAAUAGAUACGGGACUGCUAAGUGCGCUUAAGGAAGUGAAAUUUCUUAUACAGCGAGGAGGUUGGCUUAGAAGCAGCCAUCCUUUAAAGAGUGCGUAACAGCUCACUCGUUAAGAGAUUUUGCACCGCAAAUAAUCGGGGCUAAGCAGAGUACCGAAGGUGAGAACUCCCCGCCAACAUUCUUUCGCAAGAAAGUUUGGGCGGGGAUUGGUAGGAGAGCGUCCGUCUUUCAGUGAAGCCAAAGCCGUGAGGCAUGGUGGAGAAUGGCGGAGUGAGAAUGUUGGCACAAGUAACCACAAGCCCGACGAGAAUUCGGGCGGCCGGAAGUCUAAGGUUUCCUUGGCAAUGAUAAUCAUCCAAGGGUUAGUCGGUCCUAAGGCGAUGGCGAAAGCCGAAGCUGAUGGAUAUGCGGUUAAUAUUCCGCAACUCUGAUAAAUUUCGAUGGAGCGACGGAGUCUAGUAUGUUGAGCGUGUUAUUGGAUUCACGUUGAUAGCGUGAGGGUUCUCGGCGAGAAAAUCUACCGAGAUUCUUUGCUGUAAAAGGCGGAGAAAACGUCCAAGCGUCGUCAAAAUCUGGCGAUUUUCAAAAGAAAUUCAACAAAGCAGAUUUCCAAGAAAAACUUCUAAGAUUAAAUUUAUUAGAACCGUACCGUAAACCGACACAGGUAGACGGGUCGAGAAGACCAAGGCUAACGGGUGAGUGCUCCCCAAGGAACUCGGCAAAUCAGCGGCCGUAACUUAGGGAUAAGGCCUCCCCGCCAACGACAUAGAAAUAUUUUGUAGGCGGGGUGCAACAAAAGAAUCCCCAGCGACUGUUUACCAAAAACACAGCUCCCUGCGAACUCGUAAGAGGAUGUAUAGGGGGUGACACCUGACCAAUGCGAGAAGGUUAAACGGUGGUGGUGUUAUUUUGAUUUAUCAAGGUAAUGCUGGCUACUGUAAGCCCUCGUCAAUGUCGGCGAUAACUAUAAUUGUCCUAAGGUUUUGGGACUUUACGAAAGGUUCCAAAAGAAUUGGGACGAUUGUAGAGAAGAAACAAGGAAUAAAAAACGUUGCCUUAAAUUUGGCUAUAUGCUGGAAAACCUGUUGUAUCUAGAGCUACUUAGCGAUAUAAUUAAAAUGAUGUCGACAAGUAACAAUGCUACUAGUGCAGAAAAUCAGCAGGAAAGACUAAUUAAAUUAGGUUGGAUAAUUGGGUUUGUUGACGGAGAAGGAUGUUUUUCGAUUGGUUUUUUCAAUCAAUCAGACAAACAAGAAGAGAAACGCGUUAGAAGAGGAUAUAAAUUAGGAAUACAAGCAUCGCAUGAAUUUGCGGUGACACAAGGAUCAAAGAACUUGCUUGCUCUAAAGAAAAUGAAAAAUUUUUUUAGAGUAGGAGAAUUGUAUAUAAACAAAAGAUAUGAUAACCACAGAGAACAUUUGUAUAGAUAUGUUGUCAGAAGAAGAAGCGACUUAUUGGAUGUUAUCAUACCUUUUUUCGAAAAAUGUCAUCUUCAAACAACCAAAAGUAAAGAUUUCAAAAUUUUUGCUAAAUGCGUGAGAAUGAUGUCCCAAAAUUAUCAUCUUCAAAAAAAUGGUUUAAUAAAAAUUCUGAAAUUGUCUGAACAAAUGAACCAUCAAAAAUCAAGAAACCGUUUAAUUAGAAUCCUCAGAAACCAAACGCCAAAACCUGUUUUAAAAAGCAGGUAAGAUAGAGUUCGGACUGCGUGGCGACACGUAGAUAUUCCUAGCGAAAUUCCUUGUCUGGUAAUUUCAGACGCGCACGAAAGGUGUAACGACUGGGGGACUGUCUCAGGGAGUAGCCCGGUGAAAAUACAUUACCGGUGAAGAUGCCGGUUACCUGCAGCUAGACGAAAAGACCCCGGGAACUUUACUGCAACUUGAUAUUGGGUUUAAGUUCUUAAUGCGUAGAAUAGGUGGGAGGCUUUGAAGUGCCGUUUUAGGAUGGCAUGGAGCCAACAGUGAAAUACCACUCUUUGAGAAUUUAAAUUCUAAUCUUUGAGGCAAAAACUCAAGGAAACAGUAUCUGGCGGGCAGUUUUUCUGGGGCAGAAUCCUCCUAAAAAGUAAUGGAGGAGUCUAUUAAGGUCAGCUAGGCGCGGAUGGAAAUCGUGCCGAUAGUGCAAUGGCAUAAGCUGGCUUAACUGCAAGACGGACAUGUCAAGCAGACGCGAAAGCGGAGCAUAGUGAACUGCUUGUGGGUGUUAGACGCCGCAAGCAAUUAACGGAUAAAAGUUACCCCGGGGAUAACAGGCUAGUCUGGCCCGAGCGUCCAUAGCGACGGCCAGGUUCGGCACCUCGAUGUCGGCUCGUCCUAUCCUGGGGCUGUAGAAGGUCCCAAGGGUUUGGCUGUUCUCCAAUUAAAAGGGCACGUGAGCUGGGUUCAGACCGUCGUAAGACAGGUCGGCCUCCUAUCUGCUGCAGGCGUUAAUUCUUGAGGAGAUCUGCUCCUUGUACGAGAGGAUCGGAGUGGACUGACCUCUGGUGUACCAGCUGUCACGCCAGUGGCAACGCUGGGUAGCUAUGUCGGGAAGGGAUAACCGCUGAAAGCAUCUAAGCGGGAAGCCCCCUCCAAGAUUAGGAAUUAUGUCCCGUGUAAAAGCGGGACGAAGAUUCGUGGAAGAUUACCACGUUGAUAGGCUCAAGGUGUAAGCGCAGUAAUGCGUUCAGCCGAAGAGUACUAAUAGAUCUACGUAUUACCCUC